Molecule: ribosomal RNA, 253 nt
Filed under: uncultured bacterium
Lineage: Bacteria
Description: partial 16S ribosomal RNA
Rfam family: Bacterial small subunit ribosomal RNA
Source: RNAcentral
UACAGAGGGUGCGAGCGUUAAUCGGAAUUACUGGGCGUAAAGUGUGCGCAGGUGGCCGCGCAAGUCGAGUGUGAAAUCCCCGAGCUUAACUUGGGAAUUGCGCUCGAAACUACGUGGCUCGAGUGUGGCAGAGGAAGGUGGAAUUCCACGUGUAGCGGUGAAAUGCGUAGAUAUCGGAAGGAACAUCAGUGGCGAAAGCGACUUCCUGGACCAGUACCGACGUUCAGGCACGAAAGCGUGGGGAGCAGACAGG